GAUGAAGAACGUAGCGAAAUGCGAUACUUGGUGUGAAUUGCAGAAUCCCGCGAACCAUCGAGUCUUUGAACGCAAGUUGCGCCCGAAGCCACUAGGCCGAGGGCACGCCUGCCUGGGCGUCACACGCCGUUGCCCCCCCAUCUACUCCUUCGGGAUUGCGGGGGGGCGGAUGAUGGCCUCCCGUGCGCCUAGCCGCGCGGUUGGCAUAAAUACCAAGUCCUCGGCGACGCACGCCACGACAAUCGGUGGUUGCGAAACCUCGGUUGCCCGUCGUGUGCGUUCGUCGCGCAUCGAGGGCUCGAAAAAAUGCUCGGCUCCGGCUGGGCUUUCAACGCGACCCCAGGUCAGGCGGGGUUACCCGCUGAAUUUAAGCAUAUCAAUAAGCGGAGGA
Molecule: unclassified non-coding RNA, 391 nt
Filed under: soil metagenome
Description: partial contains 5.8S ribosomal RNA, internal transcribed spacer 2, and large subunit ribosomal RNA
Rfam family: 5.8S ribosomal RNA (bases 1-122)
Source: RNAcentral